AUAAUGAUACUUCCGCCCAGUCUCAGGCCGAGCGCGAACAAACCGUCGCAGCCAAAGAGGGCGGCUCUGUGAGAACCACAGCUGGGGUUGGACUCCCAUGA
Molecule: non-coding RNA, 101 nt
Filed under: bovine gut metagenome
Description: pemK RNA
Rfam family: pemK RNA
Source: RNAcentral